RNAcentral lists this non-coding RNA (2760 nucleotides) under Pan troglodytes (chimpanzee). The record is from RNAcentral. Lineage: Eukaryota; Metazoa; Chordata; Mammalia; Primates; Hominidae.
AGCGCCUGGCGCGGGCCCGAACGUAAAUGGCGCUCCUCCGCGCCGCAGCCGCAGACGCCCCGCUCCCUUCCCGCCCCGCCAGCUGCCGCCCUCCCGCGUUCGCUUCUCGCCCCGCGGCCUGGCCCGUGCGCCUCCGAGGCUGGCCAGGGGCACCGAGGCCGCGGGCCCCCCAUCGCCCCCACCCGAGCCCUGAUUUACCGUCCGAGAGCCGGCGGCACAUGGGACCCCGAGAGGAGAAGCGCGCCCGCCCCAGUGCGUCCCCAGGCGGGGGGGCCCCGACUCCUGGAGGGACCGCGUCCUGCCCGGCCCGGGAAGUUCAGGGCUGGCGAACCCCUUCCCCGACCCCAUUUCUCUUUUAACAAGAGUAGGGUUUGUGGCCAACCAUCGUCCUGACAGCUCAGCUCUGCUUUCCCUUUAAGCAUUAAUAUCAAAGCCCUGCCUGCUACCGCUGAAGCCCCGACCCGGGAGGGCCCGAAAGUCCCUUCAGGGAGAGGCCGCACUGGGCCUGCUCACCCAGGGGCUGCCCCUGCAGACUCUCCCGAGGGGCCCAGGGAUAUUCCUCGCGCCGCGAGUGGACGCUUCCAUCCACCCCAUGGGGAGGGCCUCUGCGCGUGGCUACUUUGAGCCCUCUGGAAUGCUGAGAUAGUUGCAUAAUUUCAGAAACCACGGCAUGGAGACGGAAUGAUGCAGACUCCUAUCCGCGAGACACCUGCUGUAAUUUCGCUGUGGUUCGUGAGGACGCGUCCUGGGCUGCCCUGAGAAGCCUACGUCUCCCCUUCGAGGCCUGGGAAGACCUCCGACCACGCUGACAAUGCUGGGCCCUCAGCCAGACCUGCCCUGCGUGCCACGUUCUGUUCUGAGAUCGGGCUGCCGAGCUGUGGCCUGGAGGAAACCUGGCAGGUGUCACCAGAGCUUUGGGGAGGGUGGGGCCCUGUCGGGGAAGCCCAGUGGGAGUCAUGAAGGAGGGAACACGUGUGGAGCCCUUGUAGGGGGAGGGGCAGCCCUGCAGAGAUCUAAGAAAAAAUUCCAGAAAAAUGAGCAGCAACCUCCAAGGCCAGGCAUCGGUGCAGGGGACAAGGGGUCGUAGCUGGAGGGGCCUAGGUGAGGCUGCCGGGAAGGGACUAUGUGGUUGGUGGAGUGCACAGGCAGGGACCUCACUGGACUUUCCUGUCUGCUCGGCAUGGACAGGCAGCCCAGGAGAAGGCAGCAGGUGGCCGGGUGCAGGGACGUACCACCCCCACUUCCCCAGGGGAGCUGGGGUCACACGAGUCCCAGGCACUCCAUCCUCUGCAGCAAGUCAGGUUGUGAUUUACUAGGGGGUGGUGAAUAUAAUGGAGAGACUUCUGGGGAGGAAUUCCUGGCUCCCGCGUGGACUUGCAGAGCUCAACAGGCAGCCACGUGGCUGAGUGUCCAGCAAACAUCACAUAAGGCUUUGGGUCCUGCAGGUGGGGCUGCCAUGAGCAGCAAGCUCAGUCCAGAAGAGCAGUUCCUCUCCAGGAUCCACUUCCUGCGCACUUUUAUGUGCAGUGUAGCUGGAGCAGAGCUCCCCGGAAUUCCACAGGCAACUGAGAACGGAGAGGGAUGCAGGCCAGCCAGGGAUCCAGCGUCUUCCCCAUCGUCACUCUUCAUGGCCUCCGUCUGCACACAGUGUUCGUUUGCACAGCUUGUCAGCGCGUUAUCAUGACUUCUAUUUGGCACCGGCCCGUCUGUCCACUCUCCUGGCUUGUUCCAAGCGCUGCCUUCUCCAGCUGGGGUCCUGGCUGCAGAGCUGUCUGCUCCCCACGUUGGGCAACUCCAGCCAAGAUUCCUACACCCAAAUGUGACCGUGUUGCUCACGAAGAAGGCUCAGCUUUGCGUGUGCCCAGCCGUGUGCACAGCUCGUCCCAACUCCUGCGGGUGGCACCUGCCUCUCCCACCUCCAGUCUUUCCCCUGUGAUGAGCAGAUGACCACCGCCCUCCAGGGUCAGCGUUUGGCUGUUCGUGUGCCUGCCCACCCGCCUCCCUGUGCCUGGGCCUGCCCUGUGCCUGCACACAGGAGGGGCUCAUGGCGUUUGCCCUACACGGAUGGGCUGUCCUGGGAGCUACUGGACAGUCACCUUGGUGAGGAUGCCAGAGGCAUGGGCAUUAGGUUCCCCCGGCCAGCCUCCGUUGCCACAUGGGCUAUUUUUGUCCAUCGCGUGGGACAACCUAGUAUUGGGGGAAAACUCAGUCCACUCUAAAGAAGCAUUGGCGUUUUGGAUGGACGAAUGCUGCUUCAUGCGACUCCAUGUCAAUGGACUAUUUUAUUCAACUCGGGUAUUUAUAAGUGUCUCCUCUGUGCCAGCCACGUGUGAAAGAAGAACUCCAAGUUACUGGACACCAGGACAAACCAGGAGUCUCGCUGUGUCACCCAGGCUGGAGUGCAGUGGUGUGAUCUUGGCUUACUGCUGCAACCUCUGCCUCCCAGGUUCAAGUGAUUCUCCUGCCUCAGCCUCCCAAGUACCUGGGACUACAGAUCUUUAGAUAAGCACUCUUUCAACCAAAUGCCAAUCAGAAAAUCUUUGAAUCCACCUGUGAGCUGGAAGCCCCGCUGUGCUUUGUGUUGUCCUGCCUUUUCGGACCAAUGUAAAUCUCACAUGUACUGAUUGAUGCCUACAUCUCCUUAAAACAUAUAAAAUCAAGCUGUAACCCAACCACCUUGGGCAUGUGUUCUGAGGACUUCUUGAGGCUGUGUCACUGGUCAUGAUCCUUAACCUUGGCAAAAUAAACUUCUAAACUGAU